RNAcentral lists this ribosomal RNA (575 nucleotides) under uncultured haloarchaeon. RNAcentral describes it as "bacterial SSU rRNA". It matches the Rfam family "Archaeal small subunit ribosomal RNA", at positions 340 to 914 of the family's 1478-position model. Lineage: Archaea; Methanobacteriati; Methanobacteriota; Halobacteria; Halobacteriales; Halobacteriaceae. The record is from RNAcentral.
CGCGAAACCUUUACACUGCACGAGAGUGCGAUAAGGGGACUCCCAGUGCGAGGGCAUACAGUCCUCGCUUUUCUGGACCGUAGGGAGGUCCAGGAACAAGUGCUGGGCAAGACCGGUGCCAGCCGCCGCGGUAAUACCGGCAGCACGAGUGAUGGCCGAUAUUAUUGGGCCUAAAGCGUCCGUAGCCGGCCAGACAAGUCCGUUGGGAAAUCCACGUGCUCAACACGUGGGCGUCCAGCGGAAACUGUCUGGCUUGGGGCCGGAAGACCCAAGGGGUACGUCCGGGGUAGGAGUGAAAUCCCGUAAUCCUGGACGGACCGCCGAUGGCGAAAGCACCUUGGGAGGACGGACCCGACGGUGAGGGACGAAAGCCAGGGUCUCGAACCGGAUUAGAUACCCGGGUAGUCCUGGCCGUAAACGAUGUCCGCUAGGUGUGGCGCAGGCUACGAGCCUGCGCUGUGCCGUAGGGAAGCCGUGAAGCGGACCGCCUGGGAAGUACGUCUGCAAAGAUGAAACUUAAAGGAAUUGGCGGGGGAGCACUACAACCGGAGGAGCCUGCGGUUUAAUUGGAAUCA